ACUGUUCACACGUAUACUGACCCACCUCCACCCAGCGGGAAAGCGCCCAGUUUAGUGUGUAGGGAGGUGCGUGAGAGUUCGUUUCCCGUGUGUCCCUUGGCUGUCUCAAAAUAUUAGCAAUGGCCCCAAAAAACAUUCGCAGGCGGAACGCAGCUUUAUUAUGCAUACUUACUGCAGGCAAAGUAGUAAAGGACAGUGGAAAAGACCGAAAAAGAAGGGUUUGGGUUAAAGACUGGUUAUAACAUAAAGAACGUGGGAGCUACCACCAAAUUUGCAGGGAACUGCAACAAAAGGAAUCUCUUGACUUUAACCAGUACCUUAGAAUGUCAUGCGAAUUAUUCCGUCUCCUUCUUAUGAAAGUCAGUCCAUUAAUUAGAAAAGAAAACACCAAUAUGCGGGCACCGAGUCGUCUCACGAUCAGUGGGUAAGUGUGGUGACCGAGCAUGUCGCUGACGAGCUUGGUUCAGCUAUAGAUUUGCGUUGGUAUCGGACCUGCUCGAACAAGGAUGGUGCUUCAGUUUAGCAUGUCUACACGAUCAUUUUCCACGCAUUCAUCUCUCGUUUGCUGAACCACCACACCUGCCCACUGAUCGUCUGACAACUACUUAACGUAAAUAACAAACGGGAAAAAACUCUGAAGCCUGAAGAGUAUAAUACAAUGCAGGCUGAGUGAGGGUCCUGAGGUGGUGCAGGGCUUUGUGUGAGUGUGGCAGCGGAGGCGUAUGGGAUGGUGAAUAAAAGAAAGAAGGCAGCGCAAUGGCAAAACGAAGGAAGAGAAAUGCCAACUGUGAUAUACGACAGAGAAACAAAACAAAGAGGACCACUAGAUUGGCUUCCUUGACCAUCGGCGGACAAGGGAACGUGACACCUAUGGGAGGCGGACACGUGGGCGACACAUCACUGGAAAGGAGCAAGGAAGGUCAACAUGGACGAAGCUGAAGUCGGCAAAGGACCGCAACAGGACCCUCAGGCGGCGUCGAGGGAGAGCAAUGACGUCAGGAAGGCCACCUCAAAAAAGCCUGUUCACGCAGACCUUAUUCCUUCCUGUCAAUAGAAUAUAAGAUCUACUCACUGCUUUGGUGGGCUGAGCUGUGAUGUAACACGUCCCUCACUGACUCUAGUCCUCUUACACCAUAAUCUUCAUGACACAAUUUCACUAGUCAUUCGAUAGGUGGAAGAGGACUCUAGUCGAAGGGACGUGUUUUAUCACAGCUCAGUCUGCCGGAGCAAAGUGAGUAGACCUUGUAUUCUACGGACAGUGAGGCCUGGAAGGAACGAGGCAUGCAUGAACAGGCUGCUAGCUGGGAAGGAGUGCCGCAUCCUCUACAAUGGUGGUGUCCCAAGUUUGGGCGUCUUGUUCCACCAGGGCAGGCAACUCUGGACAUCCGACAGGCUCCACAACACACCACACCUGAAAGAAGCAAACCAAGAUAACAGGACAAAUUGUUAGGAACGGUUUUUAUAAGGAUGUGAAAAGCUUUAUCGAAUAUACUACUGAUGGGGAGA
Long non-coding RNA from Eriocheir sinensis (Chinese mitten crab), 1506 nucleotides. RefSeq lists it as uncharacterized. NCBI's taxonomy places the organism in Eukaryota, Metazoa, Arthropoda, Malacostraca, Decapoda, Varunidae. The transcript is spliced from 6 exons. The record is from RefSeq and is a predicted model, not a curated record.